ACGAACGCUGGCGGCGUGCUUAACACAUGCAAGUCGAACGGAAAGGCCCUGCUUUUGUGGGGUGCUCGAGUGGCGAACGGGUGAGUAACACGUGAGUAACCUGCCCUUGACUUUGGGAUAACUUCAGGAAACUGGGGCUAAUACCGGAUAGGAGCUCCUGCUGCAUGGUGGGGGUUGGAAAGUUUCGGCGGUUGGGGAUGGACUCGCGGCUUAUCAGCUUGUUGGUGGGGUAGUGGCUUACCAAGGCUUUGACGGGUAGCCGGCCUGAGAGGGUGACCGGCCACAUUGGGACUGAGAUACGGCCCAGACUCCUACGGGAGGCAGCGGUGGGGAAUAUUGCACAAUGGGCGGAAGCCUGAUGCAGCAACGCCGCGUGCGGGAUGACGGCCUUCGGGUUGUAAACCGCUUUCGCCUGUGACGAAGCGUGAGUGACGGUAAUGGGUAAAGAAGCACCGGCUAACUACGU
RNAcentral lists this ribosomal RNA (466 nucleotides) under uncultured bacterium. RNAcentral's name for it is "partial 16S ribosomal RNA". It matches the Rfam family "Bacterial small subunit ribosomal RNA", at positions 29 to 506 of the family's 1533-position model. The record is from RNAcentral.